Molecule: ribosomal RNA, 881 nt
Filed under: uncultured bacterium
Lineage: Bacteria
Description: bacterial SSU rRNA
Rfam family: Bacterial small subunit ribosomal RNA
Source: RNAcentral
AGAGUUUGAUCCUGGCUCAGGACUAACGCUGGCGGCGUGCCUAACACAUGCAAGUCGAACGAAGUAGCAAUACUUAGUGGCAGACGGGUGAGUAACACGUAGUCAACCUGCCUCUCAAUGGGGGAUAACUAGCCGAAAGGUUAGCUAAUACCGCAUACGAUCGCCGAGUGGCAUCACACGGCGAUGAAAGAAGCAAUUCGUUGAGAGAGGGGACUGCGUCCCAUUAGUUAGUUGGUGGGGUAACGGCCUACCAAGACUCCGAUGGGUAGCCGGCUUGAGAGAGCGACCAGCCACACUGGAACUGAGACACGGUCCAGACUCCUACGGGAGGCAGCAGUGAGGAAUUUUCCGCAAUGGGGGAAACCCUGACGGAGCGACGCCGCGUGUGGGAAGAAGGCCUUCGGGUCGUAAACCACUGUCGAGGGGGACGAUAUUGACGGUACCCCUGGAGGAAGCCCCGGCUAACUACGUGCCAGCAGCCGCGGUAAGACGUAGGGGGCAAGCGUUGUCCGGAAUUAUUGGGCGUAAAGCGCUCGUAGGUGGAUCGGUAAGUCUGUGAGGAAAGGCCUGGGCUCAACUCAGGAAACCGUGUGGAUACUACCGAUCUUGAGGCAAUCAGAGGAUGAUGGAAUUCCCGGUGUAGCGGUGAAAUGCGUAGAUAUCGGGAGGAACACCAGUGGCGAAGGCGAUCAUCUGGGGUUGUUCUGACACUGAGGAGCGAAAGCUAGGGGAGCAAACGGGAUUAGAUACCCCGGUAGUCCUAGCCGUAAACGAUGGACACUAGGUGUAGGUGGUAUCGACUCCAUCUGUGCCGCAGUUAACACAAUAAGUGUCCCGCCUGGGGAGUACGGCCGCAAGGUUAAAACUCAAAGGAAUUGACG